AUGAACGCUGGCGGCGUGCCUAAUACAUGCAAGUCGAACGAGUUCUGAUUAUUGAAAGGUGCUUGCAUCUUGAUUUAAUUUUGAACGAGUGGCGGACGGGUGAGUAACACGUGGGUAACCUGCCCUUAAGUGGGGGAUAACAUUUGGAAACAGAUGCUAAUACCGCAUAAAUCCAAAAACCGCAUGGUUCUUGGCUGAAAGAUGGCGUAAGCUAUCGCUUUUGGAUGGACCCGCGGCGUAUUAGCUAGUUGGUGAGGUAACGGCUCACCAAGGCAAUGAUACGUAGCCGAACUGAGAGGUUGAUCGGCCACAUUGGGACUGAGACACGGCCCAAACUCCUACGGGAGGCAGCAGUAGGGAAUCUUCCACAAUGGACGCAAGUCUGAUGGAGCAACGCCGCGUGAGUGAAGAAGGCUUUCGGGUCGUAAAACUCUGUUGUUGGAGAAGAAUGGUCGGCAGAGUAACUGUUGUCGGCGUGACGGUAUCCAACCAGAAAGCCACGGCUAACUACGUGCCAGCAGCCGCGGUAAUACGUAGGUGGCAAGCGUUAUCCGGAUUUAUUGGGCGUAAAGCGAGCGCAGGCGGUUUUUUAAGUCUGAUGUGAAAGCCCUCGGCUUAACCGAGGAAGUGCAUCGGAAACUGGGAAACUUGAGUGCAGAAGAGGACAGUGGAACUCCAUGUGUAGCGGUGAAAUGCGUAGAUAUAUGGAAGAACACCAGUGGCGAAGGCGGCUGUCUGGUCUGUAACUGACGCUGAGGCUCGAAAGCAUGGGUAGCGAACAGGAUUAGAUACCCUGGUAGUCCAUGCCGUAAACGAUGAAUGCUAGGUGUUGGAGGGUUUCCGCCCUUCAGUGCCGCAGCUAACGCAUUAAGCAUUCCGCCUGGGGAGUACGACCGCAAGGUUGAAACUCAAAGGAAUUGACGGGGGCCCGCACAAGCGGUGGAGCAUGUGGUUUAAUUCGAAGCAACGCGAAGAACCUUACCAGGUCUUGACAUCUUUUGAUCACCUGAGAGAUCAGGUUUCCCCUUCGGGGGCAAAAUGACAGGUGGUGCAUGGUUGUCGUCAGCUCGUGUCGUGAGAUGUUGGGUUAAGUCCCGCAACGAGCGCAACCCUUAUGACUAGUUGCCAGCAUUUAGUUGGGCACUCUAGUAAGACUGCCGGUGACAAACCGGAGGAAGGUGGGGAUGACGUCAAAUCAUCAUGCCCCUUAUGACCUGGGCUACACACGUGCUACAAUGGAUGGUACAACGAGUUGCGAGACCGCGAGGUCAAGCUAAUCUCUUAAAGCCAUUCUCAGUUCGGACUGUAGGCUGCAACUCGCCUACACGAAGUCGGAAUCGCUAGUAAUCGCGGAUCAGCACGCCGCGGUGAAUACGUUCCCGGGCCUUGUACACACCGCCCGUCACACCAUGAGAGUUUGUAACACCCGAAGCCGGUGGCGUAACCCUUUUAGGGAGCGAGCCGUCUAAGGUGGGACAAAUGAUUAGGGUGAAG
RNAcentral lists this ribosomal RNA (1494 nucleotides) under uncultured organism. RNAcentral's name for it is "SSU rRNA". It matches the Rfam family "Bacterial small subunit ribosomal RNA". The record is from RNAcentral.